UGCAAUUCUUGCCAAUUAACGGGUUNCUAAACAUCAAGGGUGGCGNCNCACAUACUGUGCGGCAGGCCGAACNGGUUGCAAAUGAUCGCACGCACCNGGGGCNGGAGAAUUAUAAGUGUUNACACUUUUCCAAGGGGGAAAGAAGGGUCUAACCUUUAUACUGGAGCAAGAUCGAUAUGCAAAUGAUGUGGGUAAUGGAUCCAUAGGAGUGGGUAGGCCUUUCAAGGGAACCCCACUUGGGUGUGAGGAUGAUCCCGCAACACUGGAUGAGACACGUCCGAUCCUUACGCAAUGGGGGCAGUCCUGAAUACUGGCCAACGGCGUCAAUCCAUAACCCCAUGCUGUUGAGUCAUGAGCCCGAAGGGAUGUAAAGCUCUUAAUCCGUGAAGAUAAUGACGGUACCUCCAGAUAAGCCCCGCUAACUUC
This 426-nucleotide ribosomal RNA is filed under the name Pseudomonas aeruginosa. RNAcentral describes it as "partial 16S ribosomal RNA". Lineage: Bacteria; Pseudomonadati; Pseudomonadota; Gammaproteobacteria; Pseudomonadales; Pseudomonadaceae. The record is from RNAcentral.